This 274-nucleotide ribosomal RNA is filed under the name uncultured bacterium. RNAcentral's name for it is "partial 16S ribosomal RNA". It matches the Rfam family "Bacterial small subunit ribosomal RNA", at positions 523 to 796 of the family's 1533-position model. The record is from RNAcentral.
ACACGGAGGGUGCGAGCGUUAAUCGGAAUUACUGGGCGUAAAGCGUACGUAGGCGGUUGGUUAAGUUAGAUGUGAAAGCCCCGGGCUUAGCCUGGGAACUGCAUUUAAAACUGACGAACUAGAGUUGAGUAGAGGGGAGUGGAAUUUCAGGUGUAGCGGUGAAAUGCGUAGAGAUCUGAAGGAACACCAGUGGCGAAGGCGACUCCCUGGACUCGAACUGACGCUGAGGUACGAAAGCGUGGGUAGCAAACGGGAUUAGAAACCCUAGUAGUCC